AUUGAACGCUGGCGGCAGGCUUAACACAUGCAAGUCGAGCGGGGUGAUGGUGCUUGCACUAUCACUUAGCGGCGGACGGGUGAGUAAUGCUUAGGAAUCUGCCUAUUAGUGGGGGACAACAUCUCGCAAGGGAUGCUAAUACCGCAUACGUCCUACGGGAGAAAGCAGGGGAUCACUUGUGACCUUGCGCUAAUAGAUGAGCCUAAGUCGGAUUAGCUAGUUGGUGGGGUAAAGGCCUACCAAGGCGACGAUCUGUAGCGGGUCUGAGAGGAUGAUCCGCCACACUGGGACUGAGACACGGCCCAGACUCCUACGGGAGGCAGCAGUGGGGAAUAUUGGACAAUGGGCGCAAGCCUGAUCCAGCAACGCCGUGUGUGUGAAGAAGGCCUUAGGGUUGUAAAGCACUUUUAGUGGGGAAGAAAAGUUCAUGGCUAAUAUCCAUGAAUGCUGACGUUACCCACAGAAUAAGCACCGGCUAACUCUGUGCCAGCAGCCGCAGUAA
Molecule: ribosomal RNA, 502 nt
Filed under: uncultured bacterium
Lineage: Bacteria
Description: partial 16S ribosomal RNA
Rfam family: Bacterial small subunit ribosomal RNA
Source: RNAcentral